AAAGCAUUCCAUAUUUUUAAUACUAAAAUUAGAACAGUACAGAGAAGAUUAGCAUGGCCCCCUGCGCAAGGAUGGCAUACAGAAUUAAAGAUCUGCAGUGCAUGUUU
This is a small nuclear RNA of Suncus etruscus (white-toothed pygmy shrew), 107 nucleotides long. NCBI's taxonomy places the organism in Eukaryota, Metazoa, Chordata, Mammalia, Eulipotyphla, Soricidae. The record is from RefSeq and is a predicted model, not a curated record.